GACAGAGGGUGCAAACGUUGCUCGGAAUUACUGGGCGUAAAGCGUGCGCAGGCGGUUAUGUAAGACAGGUGUGAAAUCCCCGGGCUUAACCUGGGAACUGCAUUUGUGACUGCAUAGCUAGAGUACGGUAGAGGGGGAUGGAAUUCCGCGUGUAGCAGUGAAAUGCGUAGAUAUGCGGAGGAACACCGAUGGCGAAGGCAAUCCCCUGGACCUGUACUGACGCUCAUGCACGAAAGCGUGGGGGGCAAACAGG
RNAcentral lists this ribosomal RNA (253 nucleotides) under uncultured bacterium. RNAcentral's name for it is "partial 16S ribosomal RNA". It matches the Rfam family "Bacterial small subunit ribosomal RNA", at positions 524 to 776 of the family's 1533-position model. The record is from RNAcentral.